UCUUCGGUGGUGCAGUGGUAGCGCUCUUGAAUUUAGUUUUUGUCCCCCAAGUUCGAAUCCUGUCUGGGAAA
Meloidogyne enterolobii is the source of this 71-nucleotide non-coding RNA. The record is from the annotation of a GenBank genome assembly. Lineage: Eukaryota; Metazoa; Nematoda; Chromadorea; Rhabditida; Meloidogynidae.